RNAcentral lists this ribosomal RNA (348 nucleotides) under uncultured bacterium. RNAcentral's name for it is "bacterial SSU rRNA". It matches the Rfam family "Bacterial small subunit ribosomal RNA", at positions 28 to 369 of the family's 1533-position model. The record is from RNAcentral.
GAUGAACGCUGGCGGCGUGCUUAACACAUGCAAGUCGAACGAAGACAUCUGAGUGCUUGCACUUGGAUGGACUGAGUGGCGGACGGGUGAGUAACGCGUGGGUAACCUGCCUCACACAGGGGGAUAGCAGUUGGAAACGACUGGUAAUACCGCAUAAGCGCACAGCUUCGCAUGAAGCGGUGUGAAAAACUCCGGUGGUGUGAGAUGGACCCGCGUCUGAUUAGGUAGUUGGUGAGGUAACGGCCCACCAAGCCGACGAUCAGUAGCCGACCUGAGAGGGUGACCGGCCACAUUGGGACUGAGACACGGCCCAGACUCCUACGGAGGCAGCAGUGGGGAAUAUUGGCA